UAAAAUAUACAUUUUACUAAGAAAUGUUAAACACCGUUAAUUUUUAUUUGCAAUGAUUUUUAUCUAGAUAACCUCAAAUGUUAUCUAGAUUUUUUAUUAUAUACAUAAUAUUUACUAUACGUUGACAUAAAAUAAAUAUACGUAAAAUUAUUGAUGAGAGUAAAAUAAAUUUUAUUACUAAAAUAAAUAUACGUAAUAUAUAUUUAUUAGAUUUUUUUAGUUUAUGGGAGUCGGCGUAUAGGCGCCGUAUACUAAAUAUAUAUAAAAUAAAAAUAAAUAUUAUGUUUAUUGUAAGAGCAAUCUCCGAGGUAGGCUAAACCUUGAAGGCAUCGUCUCUCUCAGCCUCAACCCAGAACACAUCGACCUCACCAUCGACGAACUCUGUCGGCCAGCUCCGGCGAAGGACGACAACUGCCGGUGAAUGACGACCAGUUUCGGCUAACAUACGAGCAAUCUCCGAGGUAGGCUAUUGAUUUUCCCCCUGUUUGAUGUUUGUAUAACUAUUCGAUUUUCGCUUUCUUUUUCCCCUUAUGUUUUCUUUAUCUGGUAAUAAUUCUGAUAAACACAUUAUUUUGCUUUUGCUUUGUUUGAAUUACAUGAUACAUUUGUGAUUUCUAGUUUGCGAAAUUGGGGGAUUUAUUUGUUAGGUUUUGAUUUUCUGUUUGAAACCAUGAGAUUUUCUUUGUUCGAUGUUUACUAUUGAUGUUCGAUCUUCGUUGUCUUAGUUAUUCAGAAAAAUCGUUUCGCUGCUCCUUUUUUCUUUCUCUGGUAAUAUUUUUUAUAAACACAUUCUUUUACUUCUGUCCGAUUAUGGUUGUGCUGCUUUCACUUAAAAUUGUGUGAUUCGUUCAUGUCUGUGCUUUAGUCCAACGGGUAACUGUUUGCCUUCACGUCUAUUAGACAUUGGGGUUAUUCUUCUCAGCAAAUUGCUUGCCUUUCUAAAUUUUCUUGCUUGGUAAAAAUGAUGCUAUCUAAUCCUUAAAAUCCAUGUAAUAAACUUUCGGAAGAGAGCUUUUUCGACUUAUAGGUAGUUCGUCAAUCAUACUCUCAUAGUUGUAAUUAAUAACUUAGUGCAAAGAACGAAAAGCUAUAAGCAUUCUGUUCAAGUUGUAAACUGUUGAGGUCUUUUCUUUAUAAUUACGACCUAGGAACUUAACUUACCCAUUUCCAAUUACAUAUUUUGUCCAAUUUUAUGAUGUUAUUUGGUCACAGUAUGUCCCAGAAUAGUAGAACUUUCCUAGAACAGUGAAUAUCCAAACCCCUUUCUAACCUCAAGUGCUUAAACUAUUAUAUGUACAGUAAACUUUUAAGCAAAUGAAAGGGACUAUGGAUAGAAGACAUGGAAACACCUCAAUUACAAGCAAAUGAGUAGACUGUUUCUAACAUAAUUAUUGCUUCAUGUCAUGUAAUAGCAUAAUAAUUGCAUUAUGGUGAAAGCAAGUUCAUCACAGAGUGAUCCUAUGAAUCUUUCGGAGAAUAGAGCUCCUUUGGAGUAAAGCAGUGAUGUUACAGUUAGAGAUUAAGAAUGAAAUUGUCCCGUCCUUUAUCUAAAAGAAACUUUUAAAGAGUUGAAGUUAUCAUGAAUAAGUGUAUUAGUAUCUGUAUGAAUACGAGCGUAUAGAAGUACAACUUGUCCACCCAAAAAAGGAAAAAAUUAUAUAACUAAAAAUAGAAAGAAAAAUAAAUCUAGAAGUUCAAGUGCUCAACUGAAAGGAUGGUUACUUGAAAGUUGAUUCAUUUUGCAGUUUCAGGUUCGCUAAGUAGUAUCUGAGGUAGUUUUAGAUGCCUCAUCUUAUUUAUGAAGACGAUAAUGUGAAGUAAUUGUUUGAAAACUGUGACAUGCAGAAAAUGAAGUGGUGAUGUCCCUACUUGUCUUUGGUUGCCCCCUUCCUCAUGUCUUUCCUCCUCUCUUGGACAUCAUCAAACCUUUGCCUUCUUAUUUUUUCUCAGGGUGCUGCUCGCAAAUUAGCUACACAGAGAAAGAAUAUAGAGGUCGUUGAAUCUGUUGGUGUAGCAGGGAAAUCUGAUCCCGAUAGGAAAGUCAAGUACUUCACACUGGAGGUAAGUGUGCUUUUUCCUUUCUCCCACAACAUAGUAUCUAGCUGCUUUCCUCGAUGAGUAUUGAGUACAAAGGGCCAGUUAAAUUUGCAAGCGAAAUUGCAAAUUGUGACAUUGUAAUCUCUAUCAAAAUAAAGGUGGAGAGAUGUGAUGUAUCUGAGCGUGUUAAUAAAUGGAAUGCUAUUUUGAUGAUAUAGUAUACUUAUGUUGAUGUGUUGAAAUGCUGCAUAAUGUGGUUACGGCCGAGUGCACCACCAUUCCUUCUGCUAGCCCUUCUCAUCUCUGUCGUUUGCUCCUUCCCCCCCCCC
This 2366-nucleotide long non-coding RNA is filed under the name Nicotiana tabacum (common tobacco). RNAcentral's name for it is "long non-coding RNA (NTAB_LNC009342)". Lineage: Eukaryota; Viridiplantae; Streptophyta; Magnoliopsida; Solanales; Solanaceae. The record is from RNAcentral.